This 253-nucleotide ribosomal RNA is filed under the name uncultured bacterium. RNAcentral describes it as "partial 16S ribosomal RNA". It matches the Rfam family "Bacterial small subunit ribosomal RNA", at positions 524 to 776 of the family's 1533-position model. The record is from RNAcentral.
UACGUAGGGGGCUAGCGUUGUCCGGAUUUAUUGGGCGUAAAGAGCGUGUAGGCGGCCAGGUAGGUCUGCUGUGAAAACUCGAGGCUUAACCUCGAGAUGUCGGCGGAAACCAUCUGGCUAGAGUCCGGAAGAGGAGAGUGGAAUUCCUGGUGUAGCGGUGAAAUGCGCAGAUAUCAGGAAGAACACCCGUGGCGAAGGCGGCUCUCUGGGACGGUACUGACGCUGAGGAGCGAAAGCCAGGGGAGCAAACGGG